GCGAUUUUUCUGCCAAAUGACGCGGCACGCGAAUGGAACAAAUGUCAAGAGGGCGAUCAGCAUUACGUAUAGCGGUCGGCCCGGGAAAGGAAAAUACAACCGAAAUUAUUUCCUCAGUAUUUUAACAUUUCUAUCAACAUUGCAUUUAGAAUGGCAGGUAAAAAAUAUCAUGUAGUGAAGAAUUACAGCUGUCAUUCUCAGCAUGUAAAAGGAAUAUCCGUUCCAUGAAUUACAGUUCAGCAUUUCUGAAACAACGCAUAUAAAUUUCUUUGUGACCUUGAACGUUAGCAAAAGCUAAACAUACUCACAUAACUUGCUGAAGUCCAUUUCUAAUUCGGAAAGUGAUUUUUUGUUCCUUAAAAUACUUCCAACUAAGCAAUUACUGACUUCACAUGGCACAGUGAAGGAAACUGUCUCCAAACUCCAACUUUUCAGAUAUUAAAUUCAUCAUAAAAUUUAGUAGUCCUUGUCUUAUAUUCUUUUCACAAAUUGAUUAAAAAAUUCGUAAACACAUUUUUUACGUACUAAUGACAAGCUGGAUGUUGCCCUUGUUUGGUGUGUAACAUAACAUUAAGGUGAUUUUGAAAAAAAAAAAAUUAAGAAAGGAGAGAAAGUCAAAUUCCUGGCAAAUUAGUCUUAGAGAUAUGUACCUGUCAGAAGUCAGAUUGCUUGAUGAAAAAAAACCGGAUAAAAAAAAUCUUAUUCGCGAAAUAAUUUUCGUUUUUAAUCACUUACCCAAAGAAAAUUCUGCAUUACUUAAUGCUUGAAAAUGUGAUAAACUAAAAACAAGACAAAAAGAAAGAAGAAAAAUAUGUGAAAAGAUUCUGAGGUUGUGGAGAAAAAGGACAUUUCAUUCUUUUUUUGUUAUUAAAUUGAAGAUCUUUUUGUUGUUGUUAAAACAUGUUUAGCCCUGAAAAUUGGAAAAUAUCACUCAAAAUUCUUUAUGGUGUUAAGAUAAAAAUAAUAAUUUUAAGAAUCAUUUUAAUGGCUUCUCAAUAUUUCGAAAUAGAUUUUGGUGAUCGUCAUUUAUAAAAAUAAGAAUAUCGUGCAUAUUAUAAAUAGUCUUAAAUACAGGAGUGAAAGCAAGCAAAAAUGCAUCAUGAUUUUCUUUCAAUUUCUUGUUAUUAAUUUUAAAGAGUAUUUCUUAUUAAUUUAAGUUAAACAUCGGCUCUGAUCUAAUUUAUAUUUAAAUUUCUAAACUCAGUUUAAUUUAACAAAAACGUAUUAUCAGGUAUCAGUUAAAGAAAACAUAAUUCACAAUAUUAAUGAUGUAGAUUAAUAAAUAUCUUAUCAAGAUCAGACGCUAAUAAUGAGGUAGAUUAUUAAAUUCUUAUUUUAAAGGUCAGAUGUUUUUUCAAUUAUUUAGAAACAUUCUUGAUUCCUUAUUCCAUGCUGUAUACUCAUCCGGGCAAUUUGUUCAUUUGUGAGUGUUCCAUUUCUAUUGAUUUCUGAGUAAGAAUUCGUUUUAUAUGCUUCUAUUUAUGUAUUAAUAUAAAUCGAAUUACCUUCUAUAUCUCACCGUCAAUUAGGGUUAAUGCAUAUUCUAUAGCUGAAAUCAUUAUUUUCACUUGUGCAAAUAUCGUACGUUGAUAGAACCUGGCAUGGCACUUUGGCACCUGGUGAUGAUACAGACACCAUACUAUGAUUCUUGCCAGAUGAAUUAUUCAAAGUUUUAUGUAAAUAGGAAAAACGUUGACAGUACUAUUAUUAAAAAAAGAAGGAAUAGGAAGCUCAAAGGAAAAAAAAAGAGGUUAGCAUCAAUUUAUAUAAAUUAAAACAAGAAAAUAGUUAUUCAAUGCAUUGUAUUGUUGAUACGUUUGAUUGAUCAUUGGUUUGAAUAUAAUCACGAUUCCGUACGAAAUGAUUUAUUUAAAAUAGAAAGAGAGAUCCGAACAUCAAUUUAUUUCAACAUUGAAAAACAACGCUUGAAAUGAAGAAUGUUUUCAUAGAAUGUAAAAAUUAUUCCUUCAAUCAUCAAAAGUGAUUCAAUUCAAUUUUAGAAUAAAGCCACUUUAAUUAAAAAUAAU
Argiope bruennichi is the source of this 2027-nucleotide long non-coding RNA. RefSeq lists it as uncharacterized. The transcript has 3 exons. The record is from RefSeq and is a predicted model, not a curated record. NCBI's taxonomy places the organism in Eukaryota, Metazoa, Arthropoda, Arachnida, Araneae, Araneidae.